GACGAACGCUGGCGGCGUGCUUAACACAUGCAAGUCGAACGGUAAGGCCCUUUCGGGGGUACACGAGUGGCGAACGGGUGAGUAACACGUGGGUGAUCUGCCCUGCACUUUGGGAUAAGCCUGGGAAACUGGGUCUAAUACCGGAUAGGACUACGCGAUGCAUGUCGUGUGGUGGAAAGCUUUUGCGGUGUGGGAUGGGCCCGCGGCCUAUCAGCUUGUUGGUGGGGUGAUGGCCUACCAAGGCGACGACGGGUAGCCGGCCUGAGAGGGUGUCCGGCCACGCUGGGACUGAGAUACGGCCCAGACUCCUACGGGAGGCAGCAGUGGGGAAUAGUGCACAAUGGGCGCAAGCCUGAUGCAGCGACGCCGCGUGGGGGAUGACGGCCUUCGGGUUGUAAACCCCUUUCAGCACAGACGAAGCGUAAGUGACGGUAUGUGCAGAAGAAGCACCGGCCAACUACGUG
This 464-nucleotide ribosomal RNA is filed under the name uncultured bacterium. RNAcentral's name for it is "partial 16S ribosomal RNA". It matches the Rfam family "Bacterial small subunit ribosomal RNA", at positions 28 to 507 of the family's 1533-position model. The record is from RNAcentral.